UACGUAGGGGGCAAGCGUUGUCCGGAUUUAUUGGGCGUAAAGAGCUCGUAGGCGGUUCGAUAAGUCGGCUGUGAAAUCUCCACGCUUAACGUGGAGGGGUCAGUCGAUACUGUCGUGACUCGAGUCCGGUAGGGGAGAAUGGAAUUCCCGGUGUAGCGGUGAAAUGCGCAGAGAUCGGGAGGAACACCCGUAGCGAAGGCGGUUCUCUGGGCCGGUACUGACGCUGAGGAGCGAAAGCGUGGGGAGCAAA
This 250-nucleotide ribosomal RNA is filed under the name uncultured bacterium. Its description in RNAcentral is "partial 16S ribosomal RNA". It matches the Rfam family "Bacterial small subunit ribosomal RNA", at positions 524 to 772 of the family's 1533-position model. The record is from RNAcentral.